UAGGAAUAUUGGACAAUGGGGGCAACCCUGAUCCAGCCAUGCCGCGUGUGUGAAGAAGGCCUUAGGGUUGUAAAGCACUUUCGGCUGUGAAGAUAAUGACAGUAGCAGAAGAAGAAGCUCCGGCUAAAUUCGUGCCAGCAGCCGCGGUAAUACGAAUGGAGCGAGCGUUGUUCGGAAUCACUGGGCGUAAAGCGUGCGCAGGCGGUCUUGAAAGUCAGGAGUGAAAUCCCAGGGCUUAACCCUGGAAUUGCUCUUGAAACUCCAAGACUGGAGUACUGGAGAGGUUGGCGGAAUUCCGAGUGUAGCAGUGAAAUGCGUAGAUAUUCGGAGGAACACCGAUGGCGUAGGCAGCCAACUGGACAGUUACUGACGCUCAUGCACGAAAGCGUGGGGAUCAAAC
RNAcentral lists this ribosomal RNA (400 nucleotides) under uncultured bacterium. RNAcentral describes it as "bacterial SSU rRNA". It matches the Rfam family "Bacterial small subunit ribosomal RNA", at positions 356 to 773 of the family's 1533-position model. The record is from RNAcentral.